UGCGUAGGCGGCUUCUUAAGUCUGGUGUGAAAGCCCAGGGCUCAGCUCUGGAAGUGCACUAGAAACUGAGGAGCUUGAGUACCGGAGGGGAGAGUGGAAUUCCUGGUGUAGCGGUGAAAUGCGUAGAUAUCAGGAGGAAUACCGGUGGCGAAAGCGACUCUCUGGACGGUUACUGACGCUGAGGCACGAAAGCGUGGGGAGCAAACA
RNAcentral lists this ribosomal RNA (207 nucleotides) under uncultured bacterium. RNAcentral describes it as "partial 16S ribosomal RNA". It matches the Rfam family "Bacterial small subunit ribosomal RNA", at positions 568 to 774 of the family's 1533-position model. The record is from RNAcentral.